This 1399-nucleotide ribosomal RNA is filed under the name Serratia marcescens. Its description in RNAcentral is "bacterial LSU rRNA". It matches the Rfam family "Bacterial large subunit ribosomal RNA", at positions 1552 to 2925 of the family's 2925-position model. Lineage: Bacteria; Pseudomonadati; Pseudomonadota; Gammaproteobacteria; Enterobacterales; Yersiniaceae. RNAcentral also lists the same sequence under 1 other name. The record is from RNAcentral.
AACCCUGAGGCGUGAUGACGAUGCACUACGGUGCAGAAGUAGUUGAUGCCCUGCUUCCAGGAAAAUCCUCUAAGCUCCAGGUAACAUUAAAUCGUACCCCAAACCGACACAGGUGGUCAGGUAGAGAAUACCAAGGCGCUUGAGAGAACUCGGGUGAAGGAACUAGGCAAAAUGGUGCCGUAACUUCGGGAGAAGGCACGCUGGCAUGUAGGUGAAGUCCCUUGCGGAUGGAGCUGAAGCCAGUCGAAGAUACCAGCUGGCUGCAACUGUUUAAUAAAAACACAGCACUGUGCAAACACGAAAGUGGACGUAUACGGUGUGACGCCUGCCCGGUGCUGGAAGGUUAAUUGAUGGGGUCAGCCGCAAGGCGAAGCUCUUGAUCGAAGCCCCAGUAAACGGCGGCCGUAACUAUAACGGUCCUAAGGUAGCGAAAUUCCUUGUCGGGUAAGUUCCGACCUGCACGAAUGGCGUAAUGAUGGCCAGGCUGUCUCCACCCGAGACUCAGUGAAAUUGAACUCGCUGUGAAGAUGCAGUGUACCCGCGGCAAGACGGAAAGACCCCGUGAACCUUUACUAUAGCUUGACACUGAACAUUGAGCCUUGAUGUGUAGGAUAGGUGGGAGGCUUUGAAGCGUGGACGCCAGUCUGCGUGGAGCCAUCCUUGAAAUACCACCCUUUAAUGUUUGAUGUUCUAACUCGGCCCCGUGAUCCGGGGUGAGGACAGUGUCUGGUGGGUAGUUUGACUGGGGCGGUCUCCUCCCAAAGAGUAACGGAGGAGCACGAAGGUUAGCUAAUCACGGUCGGACAUCGUGAGGUUAGUGCAAAGGCAUAAGCUAGCUUGACUGCGAGAGUGACGGCUCGAGCAGGUACGAAAGUAGGUCUUAGUGAUCCGGUGGUUCUGAAUGGAAGGGCCAUCGCUCAACGGAUAAAAGGUACUCCGGGGAUAACAGGCUGAUACCGCCCAAGAGUUCAUAUCGACGGCGGUGUUUGGCACCUCGAUGUCGGCUCAUCACAUCCUGGGGCUGAAGUAGGUCCCAAGGGUAUGGCUGUUCGCCAUUUAAAGUGGUACGCGAGCUGGGUUUAGAACGUCGUGAGACAGUUCGGUCCCUAUCUGCCGUGGGCGUUGGAAGAUUGAGAGGGGUUGCUCCUAGUACGAGAGGACCGGAGUGAACGCACCACUGGUGUUCGGGUUGUCAUGCCAAUGGCAUUGCCCGGUAGCUAAGUGCGGAAAAGAUAAGCGCUGAAAGCAUCUAAGCGCGAAACUUGCCUCAAGAUGAGUCUUCCCUGGGCCUUUAAGGCCCCUGAAGGAACGUUUAAGACUAAGACGUUGAUAGGCUGGGUGUGUAAGUGCAGCGAUGCAUUGAGCUAACCAGUACUAAUGAUCCGUGAGGCUUAACCUU